This 1026-nucleotide long non-coding RNA is filed under the name Parus major (Great Tit). Its description in RNAcentral is "lncRNA (ENSPMJG00000007250.1)". Lineage: Eukaryota; Metazoa; Chordata; Aves; Passeriformes; Paridae. The record is from RNAcentral.
GAUCAGAGAAUCACGGAAGAGUUUGGCUGGGAAGGGUCCUUAAAGACCAUCCGGUUUCAUCCCUCGCAUCCCCCGGCGCGGCAGGGCUGGUCCUGCGGAGGGGACCCGGAGCAGGGCGGGGGGAGGAUCCCAGCCCGGCCCCUUCCAUCCCCCGCCGCUGCCGGCCGCGCUCGGAGCCGAGGAAAUCCCAAAUCCCACCGAUCCCGCACCGCCAUCCCAACUUUCCCACGGCCGGGACGCGGCUGGCGGCCCCGCCGGAGCCGGGCCCGGGAGGGGCUCGGGGGGUCCCGGCCCGGUCCGGCCGCGCUCCGCCCCCCGCGGGGCCGGGGCGGGACCCGGGGCCGGGCGGAACCCGCGCCCAGACGUCCCGGCGGCGGCGAGCGGGGCUCCGAGCUAGCGGGGAGCCGGGAUCCGAGCUGCCUCCUGCCGCUCCAUGGCCCCGGCCGCGGCGGCGGAGCCCAGAGCCCGCCGCCCCCGGGGCCCCGGCCCCGGCCCCGGCCCCGGCGGGAGGCGCACGGCUCGGCGGCCGCCGGUGAGUGCGGGGACGGGGGGCGGCGGGGGGAGCACGGACACGAGCAGCGCCCGGACCCACCCACAUCCCCCCCGGGCACACCGAGCACCCCCCGGCACCCCCGGGCACUCGCCACACGUUCCCACUCGCAUGCACAGCCGGCCGGGCACACACACUCCUGUGCAAACCCACACGCAUCUUCACACGGCCCAAACCCCGGAGCUGGGCACAGCUGCCCAAUCCCAGCACUUUUUGGAAUUCCUGAGGCUCCUGGUAGAGGAUUGGGGCGAGGAGUAACCCCGCAGCUGAUCCCCACGCAGGGUUUGAUGGAGACACUGGAGAGAGAAGUGAGUGGAAUUGAUCUCAGUAGAUCCUGGAGUUUGGGAUCGGGAGCUCGGCUUUGUGGCACGGAGGGGUCAGCGACCGCAGCCAGACCCACCACUGCCUCAUCUCUAAGUGGGUUUGGAUCCUUGCUCAUGAGAUCAGCGAGAUGUGUCUUUUGCAGGGUAGAGUAG